This is a long non-coding RNA of Impatiens glandulifera, 626 nucleotides long. RefSeq lists it as uncharacterized. The transcript has 2 exons. Lineage: Eukaryota; Viridiplantae; Streptophyta; Magnoliopsida; Ericales; Balsaminaceae. The record is from RefSeq and is a predicted model, not a curated record.
GCGAGUUCGACUGAGGCCAAGCACAGAGGAGAGGAGGAGGAAGAAGCAGGCGAAGACGAAGAUACUGGGGCACAAGUGGCCCGGCCCGAUCGUCAAGCUUGAGGAAGUGGCCGUUUCUACCGGUGAAGAAGAUGAAGAAAUUCUCCUGGACUUGUACGAAAGCAAGCAAUCAGUGGAAAGAAAGAGGGGUACUGGGACUGUAAAAAUUCUCAAACAUAAAUGAAACUGGUAAAUUAAGUUAGGCUGAUCAAUGAUCAUGCGUCAAUCAAUCAAUCCAAGACUCUCAACAUCUGUGCUGUGCCAAUCAUUUCCUGCACCCUUGUAUUUUUCGCAUCUGUGCAACAACUUGCCGCUAAUGACAAAUCUUGCAUCUGUCAUGCUUCUGAUUUUGGAGAAGUUGACCGUAGAGGAAAAGAAGGAAACAAAAGAUGAACCACCACCACCAAAAUAGAAGACGUGAAAGAUAAGAAGUAGAAGAAAGAAGAAGAGAAAUAGGUGCUGCAUCUUCUUGGCCAUGUAUAAUGUUAGUUUGAUGAGAUCUGUCUCUGAUUUCAUUUUCAGUUUCAGGAGGUUAAAAAUGUGUUCUUGCACCUGGUUUUGUAUGUAAGAAGAAGAAGAAGGGUUUG